RNAcentral lists this non-coding RNA (179 nucleotides) under uncultured Prevotella sp. The record is from RNAcentral. Lineage: Bacteria; Pseudomonadati; Bacteroidota; Bacteroidia; Bacteroidales; Prevotellaceae.
UAAAGGUUCGCCGAUAACGCGAUUAAAAGGGAAUGGAGUGUAAGUCUCCAACUGUCCCGCAGCUGUAAGCUCCUUUAUACCUCUGCCGGCAUGAAAGCCACUGCCCCUUGAUUUCUGUUUUGACGGGCGGGAAGGUUCCGGCGGCGUGGAGCGUAGUCAGAAGACCUGCCUUUAUUGUU